Long non-coding RNA from Musa acuminata AAA Group (dessert banana), 2265 nucleotides. RefSeq lists it as uncharacterized. The record is from RefSeq and is a predicted model, not a curated record. The transcript has 2 exons. Lineage: Eukaryota; Viridiplantae; Streptophyta; Magnoliopsida; Zingiberales; Musaceae.
AUAGCACAGCAGAAGAGCCGGGGGGGGGGUUUUGAGUGGGCAAGGAGUUGUUCCUCGCGCAGGACGCGCAUUAACUCGACGAACACCAGCCCGCCCGCCGGCCCUCCCAAUCCCUAUCUAGCUCCUAGGGUUUGGCCCCUGCGUUCUCAGCUGUUGUAGGUGAUCCCUCCACCGUCCAGAUGUGACCCAACGGUGGAUGAAAGAGCCUGCCCCAUGGAUCGAGGGAUGUCACUCACCUAUAAAAAAGAGACUAGGGGGAAGCUUUCACGAGCCGUCCAUGGAGUCGCGAAGACGAAGAAACAGGAAGCUUAUCCUUUGAGGGGAAUGUUGUCUGGCUCGAGGUCACUGCUAGUCCUCCACCCUGCGUAAGAGAUCUCGGACCAGGCUUCAUUCCCCCCAGUCAUAGCUUCCAUCUCCGACACAUGAGGGUGUAGUACAUAUCGGAACGUUGCAGAUCUGCAAGACUCAUAACUCAUAGUUCUGUUUCUCUCUUUGCUGCUUGUUUUGCGUUGAGAUUUCCUCUCCCCCCGCCCCCCGCUCUCUCUCUCUCUCUCUCUCUCUCUAGAAAAGAUUUCCGUUUGCUCGCUCGUUGAUAGCUUUUCUUUUUGGUGUCAUGCGAUUAACGUCCGAGGACACAUGCGGAGCAGCAGAUUGGUGUAAUGAUGCUGGUUUUGACCGGAUCUUUUGCUUCUGAUCUCUUUUUGUUUCCUCGUGCUUCUUUUCUCCCUCUGACAGGAGGCUAAAAGGUUUUCCAUCAUUGUCUUAUGAUUACUCUCUGAAGGAUUCCUUCUUUUCUUUUUCAUUUGGCCCUUUAUUUUGGGGGGGGAAGAUAAUUCCUUUAUGCAUGGAUUUCAUGGAUCUUGUAGUUCAUCUCAAGAUCUUUUGAUGGUCAUUCGAAGAUCCUCCAUCGUUUUCUUUUUCGUUCUUCUCUUCUCCUGUGCGAAUCUCCACUUGGUGUUCUUUGUUAUGCCACGACAUAUCUUUUUCUCAUGAAAAUUUAUCGUCUCCAUCGUCUCCUUUAUGCACUGGAAACAUGCUCCGUUCACUUUCUUGAACAUGGACUAAUUUGUUCUUCAAUAUCACUUAGCUUCUCCUCUUGCUUUGCAAGCUCUAUUUUGAUUUUUUUUUUCCAUGAUCUAUCUGGUUGGAAUUGCAUAUAUGUUUAUUUGUCUAUGAAUUCUUCUAAAUCUUUUAAACUAUAAGAGAAACAGUUCUCAAGAAGUUUCCAAAAAGAUUUCAAGGGAAAAAUAAAUAUUUUAAUGCUCCCUUGUUGGAAAAACAACUGAGAAUAUGUGCCAAUAUUUCAUAUAGAAGAUUAUAGAAGAGUUCAUAUAAGAGACACUAAUCUCUUUCAAAGCCUUAUUUAUAAAGGAAAUAGAGCUUAACACUUACCUUCUAAUUUAGCUUGGACAUGUUAAAUUAGGAGUUCAUUUUGAGAAUAUGAUAUGAUAUUUAUUACAUAUGACAUGGUUUGUGAUAUAUGAAAUUGGCAAAGAGAUUCAGAUUGAGAGAUCAAAUAUUUUAGUUUAAUGCUACUUAUAUCCUGUAAACUAAUUAUCAAGGUCUAUCAUGUUUGCUCAAAAACAUUUUUCACAAUUUUGUCUAAGUUUUGCCAUGAAUUUAUGGUUUGACGACUCGUCGAAGAAUCGAAAAAUUGCUUUUUUAUCAGUACAGUUGAGAUAAUGAGAUUGGCUUAAUGAUGUUUGCAAAUCUGUUGCUGGAUUACUUGCACAUCUGCUUAUCAUUUUACUAUAAUCACAUCUAGUCCUACAUCGAGAUCGAUCAAUGGUAUAUCAUGUUUCACCAUGUUUAUAAGUUUCUUAAAGCUUGAUCUAUAUAUCCUUCACAGCAAGUAAUGUUUUCAUGCAUUUAUUUCCUUUUGUUGUCUAAUACCCGUGACUUCUUAGAUCACAAGGCAUUGUCAUCUUUGAUUCAUUUAUUACUGCCUCCAGCUGCAAGAGAGAGGAACACCAUUGCAAAAGCAGCAAGUAAAACAUGGAGAAAGACACCAUGGAAAAAGGUGCCACAAAGGGAAUGGCUGUUUACUUGCAGUGGAUGUGUAGAUCCUUCUUUUGAGUUUAUUAGGUUUAUAUCUACAAGUUUAAGGGUGUCUUACCUCUCAUCUUCUUCUUACGACACAGGUUUUGAGACACCCAUCAUCUGAACCUUUUUACCUCUUAAGCUAUUCCUUUUGUUAAAGUUCUUGGGAUGAGAAAUGAUAUGCCUUUUGAGCUUAGGGAUUGUAAGCUUUGAGUCUCGUGUCCA